Lupinus angustifolius (narrow-leaved blue lupine) is the source of this 82-nucleotide non-coding RNA. Lineage: Eukaryota; Viridiplantae; Streptophyta; Magnoliopsida; Fabales; Fabaceae. The record is from Rfam.
GAGCUAUGAGGAUGUUUGUACUAAGUGUGAUAGCUGGGUCUGUCACCAUCGUCUUCUAGACGAGAAAAGUGCAUCUGAGCUC